AGAGAGAGACAUGCGCGCAUAUCAAUAAGCGGAGGAAAAGAAACUAACAAGGAUUCCCCUAGUAACGGCGAGUGAAGCGGGAAGAGCUCAAAUUUGAAAUCUUAAAGGGUUUCCCUUUACGAAUUGUAGUUUAAAGAAGUGUUUUCUGUUGAGGUUUUGGUAAAAGUUCUUUGGAAUAGGACAUCAUAGAGGGUGAGAAUCCCGUAUUUGACCUUUACUUUCAACUUUGUGAUACGCUUUCAAAGAGUCGGAUUGUUUGGGAAUGCAGUCCAAAAUGGGUGGUAAAUUUCAUCUAAAGCUAAAUAUUGGCGAGAGACCGAUAGCGAACAAGUACCGUGAGGGAAAGAUGAAAAGAACUUUGAAAAGAGAGUUAAACAGUACGUGAAAUUGUCAAAAGGGAAGCGUUUGACACCAGUGUUGUUUUUCUGAAUAUCAAUUAAAGAACUGUUUAUGCUAAGUUGUUUAGACUUUAUCAGCUAACUGUUUAGUUUUGAGCUUUUCUUUAAUGCACUUUUCAGUUAACAAGUCAACAUCAAUUUCUUUUGCUGUAAAAAAGCUUGAGGAAGGUGGCUUGAGAUUCGUCUUAAGUGUUUAUAGCCUCUUGCCUAUGCAGUCGGAGAGAUUGAGGUCUGCAGCGUAGAUCCUUCGGGGCUAAAUGCAUUUGUGCUAAGUUAUAGCAUUUUAUAGACAACUUGUUGACUAUGAUUUGUCUUGUAGCUUACUCGCUUAUGUUAUUUUACCUACGCUUAGGAUGUUGAGCGCAUGUCUCUCUCU
This 774-nucleotide ribosomal RNA is filed under the name uncultured Neocallimastigales. Its description in RNAcentral is "partial large subunit ribosomal RNA". It matches the Rfam family "Eukaryotic large subunit ribosomal RNA", at positions 23 to 616 of the family's 3401-position model. The record is from RNAcentral. Lineage: Eukaryota; Fungi; Neocallimastigomycota; Neocallimastigomycetes; Neocallimastigales.